RNAcentral lists this microRNA precursor (96 nucleotides) under Guillardia theta CCMP2712. Its description in RNAcentral is "microRNA mir-598". Lineage: Eukaryota; Cryptophyceae; Pyrenomonadales; Geminigeraceae. The record is from RNAcentral.
UGGUGGUGGUGGUGAUGAUGAUGGCGAUUGUGAUGAAGAUGGUGAUAAUGAUGAUGAUCAUCGUCGUCGGCGUCGUCGUCGGCGUCAUCAUCAUGA